GCUUAUCACCAUUCCAGAUUGAAUAUACCCGAUCUCGUUUGAUCUCGGAAGUCAAGCAAUCUCGAGCUUGGUUAGUACUUGGAUGGGUGACCGCUUGGGAAUACCAAGUGUGAUAAGCA
Ciona savignyi (Pacific transparent sea squirt) is the source of this 119-nucleotide non-coding RNA. Lineage: Eukaryota; Metazoa; Chordata; Ascidiacea; Phlebobranchia; Cionidae. The record is from Rfam.